Molecule: long non-coding RNA, 478 nt
Filed under: Mytilus galloprovincialis (Mediterranean mussel)
Lineage: Eukaryota; Metazoa; Mollusca; Bivalvia; Mytilida; Mytilidae
Source: RNAcentral
CCAGACUCUACUUAUAUUUGUUCUCUCUUAACGAAAUUUAAAUUUCCAUCCCUUCCUACUAUUGGAUGUACAAAUAUAACUAACAAGAAUGUGUCCCAAGUACACGGAUGCCCCAUCCGCACUAUCAUUUUCUAUGUUCAGUGGACCGUGAAAAUGGGAUAAAAUGUCUAAUUUGGCAUUAAAAUUAGAAAGAUCAUAUCAUAGGGAACAUGUUUACUAAGUUUCAAGUUGAUUGGACUUCAACUUCAUCAAAAACUACCUCGACAAAAACUUUAACCUGAAGCGGGAUGAACGGACGAACGAACGAACAGACGAACGUACGCACAGACUAGAAAACAUAAUGCCCAUAAAUGGGGCAUAAAAACCAGAGUUUCACUAAGUAAAUAUGUAGAAGAUAUAUCUAACAAAAAAAAAAAAUAUUGUUUAAUUGACAAAUUUUUGUUUUGAUAUUGAUUUAUCUAUUCUUCUUGCAAUUCAC